GACGAACGCUGGCGGCGUGCUUAACACAUGCAAGUCGAACGGAAAGGCCCUGCUUUUGUGGGGUGCUCGAGUGGCGAACGGGUGAGUAACACGUGAGUAGCCUGCCCUUGACUUUGGGAUAACUUCAGGAAACUGGGGCUAAUACCGGAUAGGAGCUCCUGCUGCAUGGUGGGGGUUGGAAAGUUUCGGCGGUUGGGGAUGGACUCGCGGCUUAUCAGCUUGUUGGUGGGGUAGUGGCUUACCAAGGCUUUGACGGGUAGCCGGCCUGAGAGGGUGACCGGCCACAUGGGGACUGAGAGACGGCCCAGACUCCUACGGGAGGCAGCAGUGGGGAAUAUUGCACAAUGGGCGGAAGCCUGAUGCAGCAACGCCGCGUGCGGGAUGACGGCCUUCGGGUUGUAAACCGCUUUCGCCUGUGACGAAGCGUGAGUGACGGUAAUGGGUAAAGAAGCACCGGCUAACUACGUG
This 468-nucleotide ribosomal RNA is filed under the name uncultured bacterium. RNAcentral describes it as "partial 16S ribosomal RNA". It matches the Rfam family "Bacterial small subunit ribosomal RNA", at positions 28 to 507 of the family's 1533-position model. The record is from RNAcentral.